Molecule: transfer RNA, 69 nt
Filed under: Xiphophorus maculatus (southern platyfish)
Lineage: Eukaryota; Metazoa; Chordata; Actinopteri; Cyprinodontiformes; Poeciliidae
Description: tRNA (ENSXMAG00000020814.2)
Source: RNAcentral
GUUCUUGUAGUUGAAUAACGACGGUGGUUUUUCCAGUCAUUGGUCUAAGUUAAAGUCUUAGUAGGAAUG